UCGUUGUUCACAGGAAUCACAGAAAUUGUGUAAACAAUUUUUUUCCAAUAAACGUUUAAAUGGCUUAAUAACAACGCAGCUGGAUGAGACUGGUGUGUUGUAUGACAAAUAAUGUGAUGCAAAUAGAAAGGGCGUUUUAACACGAAUGUCAUCAAAACAAAGACAAAGAAAUAUGAUUGUGCGUUAAAUUUGAGCUGUUUCCUAGAUUGUAGCAGUAAAAAUUCUAUUAGAUUUUCUUAGAAGCUUGUAGAGAAAAAUGACCGGGAAAGGAACGGAUUUGGUUAAAGAUGUUAGUGAAAGAGGACUGAUUUUUUUUUCUUUUUUUAACUUUGAAUCUCCCUCGUUCCGAUAGCAGAUCCCAAAAUAUAAAUUUGAGUUGAUUACUGGUAUUUGAACUCUUAUUUGAACAAUCAUCCAGAAACUUUUCGAAAACCUUCCCCUGAUCGGCUUUCUAUACCCGUUCCAUAAUCUCGAUAAAUCUCGCCAAACAUCAACAAACCUUCGUCAACUUUACAGAACACCGAUCCGCACACAUGCCGAGUCGUUAAAACUGAUUGCCCUCGCAUCGUUUUGCGGUAAAUCCCGUGCACUUUUCCCGAGAUGAUAACGAUAAUAUCCAGCGACGACGGCGACGUUCUGCCAAAAAUCACACACCGAAUGAUGCGAUGGGAAGGAGGCAGAGGGAGAGUAAACAUACGUUUUUGAUGACGCUAACGGCUUUCACUGGCAGACGCGAUGCUGUCAACGAUGAAAACCACAAUAUCGCAGCAUUGGAAGGAGGCGGUGGAGAUCCUUAUUCUCAAGUGGGUGAUUCAAUUUUACGAUUAUAACUUGGAUAUGAAAGAGUGCACCUGGCAGGGAAAUGAACGAGAACACCCAUCAUAUGAGGAAUUUCUCCCUCUCUCUCAUCUAAUUGAGUCAUGUUGAUAUCGCCAGGCAGCGAAAGAUCAAAGAUUUGACCACCGCACACACACGGUUUAUUAUCCGAGAGGGGUUGCAAAAAAAUCGACGAGAGUCUUUUCAAUCACAAUAAUAAACAAAAAUCACGCUUCACGAACCGAGUUCAACAUAAACUCGAGAGCCGAGAACAUCAAAGCCCAGCAGACCGGUUGGAGGAAAAUCCUCCAAAAAAAAAUCCAAUAUUCGUCCUUUGACAGCUUGACAAACGACCAGCGAGAACCAGUCGGCGGUCGUCUCUUCGGUUGGUCUAUUCAAACAUAUAAACACCAGACGAAUGGUCCACCAAUUGCUUAUUUAUUUUAUUUAUUGGAUGCUACCAAGCGAGAAGAAUUUUUGAUCUUUUCCUGUUUUUCCAGUUGAAAAAAAAAACAUGCGCCCUUUAUGAUUGUACUCUUCGUUUCGUUGCUACUAGGAACCAAAUUGGCUGAAAAGUGUUCAGAAGUGUACGCGGAAAAGUCUUCUGCGUAUUGAAACCUGCCUGAAUGAUGGAACAACCAACAGUUUCAGGAGGUACGCGACGUUAAAAAGGAUAAUGGGGACGCAGUUAUUGGCGCCCGUUUGGUUGACGGGUUAACGAGAAAAACAUCGACGAGCGCUCUUUGGGGCAAGGCCAACAAGUUACACGUAACCGGAACAGUGCGAACAAGUGCGUGGACCAUUCAAACCGCUUGAUAUUCGCUUUCGCUAAGAAGGUCUGUCCGGAGUAGAGAAAUCCUACCGAGUUGCUUCUCCUACCGAUACCGCGAACAAAACACCGUUGUCAGUGGUACAGUUGUCACCUGCUUUGGCAUCAUGCAAAAAUAAUGGCCCGAGAUUAGACAGAAACAAAUCAAACUUGUUGAAAAAUUAACCUAGCUCUGUGAAGAGGUGCUUGUCAAAUUUGUUCAACAAGUUCCUUGAGAGGAGCAUUGUCCCUUAUAAUUGUUGGCAAGAAAAGGUAUUGGACAUCUUUAAACCGGGAAAACCCGCCUCCGAUCACAACUCGCAUCGGCCGACUGACAUGCUGUAUUGUAUUCUAAAGUUGUUAGAGGAACUGAUGCUACAACGAGCAGACGGCAUCAGUGUCCUUGGAUAGUAAGGUGGUUUUUGAUUGAGUUACGUGGGACAGAACAUCAAUGCUUAUUUCUAUAAUCCCAACCAUGUCCGCGGAGAAAGAGAUUCUUGGAAUUCCGGAAUAUAUACGCUCGCAAGUAAUUUCAAACACUCUGCUAUAUUUCUCUGGGCGAAUACCAAUUUUCCUGUUUGCUCAAGAAGAUAAAAAGUAUCUUCGUUUUUGAAGCAAGUGUCAAUACAGUGCUAGCUUAAUUCGGAUUUUGGUUAGUGUCGGCUUCUGACGAGACGAAAUCGAAACACGAAUUUCUUAACUAAUUUAGCCCUAAACAAUUGUUACAUUAAAUUCCGAGAGGUCGACUGACUGUGCAUUAACUGCUAUUCACUAUACCCUUGGGAUCAAUGACAUUUGACCCACAAAUCUUUACUUUGUCGUUUCGGACAGCCUCAGCUCUAUUGGGGAUCUCCGUACGAUGAAUCCCGGAAAGCGCUCCCCAUAUUUCCUGGGGAAAAUACGACGAAGUACCCAACUGUUUCAACAAAGAAUGCAGCACAUCUGGUAAACAUCAUGGAGCAAUGGCGAGCUUGAACGAAGGUUACAUUCUAUUGUCCCGAUGGUAUCGACGAAGUUUUGAUUCUGGGGGAUAGAUGUUUAUUCGUUAAAUGUACCGGCUUAUGUCCAACCACUACACGUUACAUGCGCAUUUGCGACGUUUGGGCUUGCAAAGAGUAGUAUGUGCGCCCAUGACGAGGGCUGUCACGACAUCGAGCACGUUGUAUGGGUAUGCGUUAGGCAUUUUGAUCACCCAAUGUUGCUUUUCGGGAUUUCUCAGCAAGUCGCGGUGUCUGCAGCAUUUCCCUCAUCAACCUGUUCCUAAAUACGAUAGUUUGCUGUAUGUUCGACUGCUUAUGUUUUAUUUUCUUAUAUAAGGAAUAAGCGUUUCAGUCUAUUUUUAAUAAAUAACUCCUGUAUGUUCUCUUCUUCCGACGUUUCGGUCCUUCUUGGUCCUUAAUCCAUGAGAAAGGACAAAUACGGACCGAAACGUCGGGAUAAGAGAACUAACAAGAGUUCUAUAUUACAAAUAGACUGAAACUCCGACUUCUAACUAAAGUAAAUAAAACAUAAACAGUCGAAAAUACAGCAAACUAUCGUAACAUUACAUAAGAUAACAUUUAACCCCUCUAUGUUCGUUGUUUGUUCUUAGAAGUAUCCUGUAUUUCAGAAGACGACUUGCACCAAAACGCUAUUACGUGAUUGUCUUCAUCCUCACCAUUGGCACAGUAACAGAGAGAGAGAGAGAGCGCGCGACUUUCGAACGAUCUCCUGCAGGUCCGCCAGUAUUAGCUUCCACGCUGAUGGGGCUGACUGUAGAUUUGGAGAUGCUGGGCGAAGCUCCUGCAGUUACCAUUAUUACCUGACAAGCAGUCAUAAAUUUUCUAACCGUUUGUGUUUCAGAUUAUGGCAUUCCAGACUUUGUUUUGGAUUUGAUAGCCGUGGAUGAGUGAGCAACUGGUUGAGAUUUUCCUAAGUUUCUUCCACGCCAGGUAUUCUGUAGGAAUACAGUAAUGGCACAUACCAAACUAUCCUUGAUGGAGGUUUAGCUUAGUUAGUGUAAUUUUUGUACUGUAUGUUUUGAAUGGUAUUGUCAGGUAGAAUGUAAACUGUCUUUCAACCCGCAUCCACACAAGAAGUUCUGAUUGAGCUGAUGAGUUAUUAAGGUGACUCAACAACUUUAUUCAGACCUUAUUUUCUUGCGGGACAUCAUGCUCGAUUGGGAGUUUGCUCAAAAACAAUCUCCGCUCUUUGGAGCUAGCGUCAAUCCGGCGGUAGUUUAGUCCUGGCUCAAAAUUAAUGUCGAAUUGUGACGAGACGAAGUCGAAACACUGACGAGGAAGUACUGAUUUUCGGACAUUUCACUGCUUUGUCUUAUUAUCUAUUUGAUUUAUUUAUUUAGGUCCUAAUCUCCAGGGUCAUUUGCCUUUUUGAAAAAAAUAGAACUAAUUCACAAUUCAUAAAAGAAAAAAAGACGCGCAGCAUCUUGAAGCAGCGCUCCAACCGGAGAAAAAACUCAUCGAUGCUCCCCUUGAGGACUGCUGGACCAGGACUAAAGCAGCCAUAAGCAGCACUGCGGAGAGCGUCCUGGGAUACGUACAGAGGAGUCGAGGGGAACGAUUGGUUCGAUGGCGAGUGCCAAGAGAUAUUGGACGAGAAGCAUGCAGCACGCGCAGCGAUGUUGCUUCAAGCCACUCGUCAGAACGUGGAGUCAUAUCGACGGAAGCGAAAACAGUCUUUUUCAGAACAAAAAGCACCGCCUGGAAGAGUCUGAGAGAGAUAAGAUGGAGCUGCUGUGUCGCUCUCAAGAAACGCGGGCGUUCUUCAAGAAGCUGAAUUACUCUCGCAACGGUUUUGUGCCGCGGGCCGAAAUGUGUACAGGCAAGGAUGGUGGCAUCUUGACGGACGAACGUGAGGUGGUCGAAAGGUGGAGGCAGUACUACAAUGAACAUCUGAAUGGUGCGCAGGCCGACAAUCGGGCGUUCGAGGAGGACGAUUAUGUCAGUGUUGCGGCUGACGGGGAUGUACAGGCGCCCACUAUGAAUGAUGUUAACGAGGCUAUUCAACAGCUCAAGAACAAUAGCUGGUUAGGAUGGUCUAGGAGCAGAACUCUUCAAGGUGGGUUCGGAUAAACUGACGGAAUGCAUGCACCGAAUAAUCGAAAGAAUCUGGGACAGGGAACAGCUACCGGAGGAGUGGAAGGAAGGGGUAAUCACCCCGAUAUACAAGAAAGGCGACAAAUUGGACUAUGAAAACUACAGAGCGAUCACAGUGACAAAUGCCGCUUACAAAGUGCUAUCCCAGAUUCUGUUCCGGCGCCUAUCACCGCUGGUAAAUGGAUUUGUCGGGAGUUAUCAGGCCGGUUUCAUCAACGGCAGAUCAACAAACGACCAAAUCGUUACUAUACGGCAAAUCCUCCAAAAAUGCUGUGAAUACCAGGUCCCGACACAUCACCUGUUCAUCGACUUUAAAGCCGCAUAUGACACGGUGGACCGUGUAGAGCUAUGGAAAAUGAUGGACGAGAACGGCUCCCCUGGGAAUCUGACAAGACUGAUUAAGGCUACGAUGGAUGGUGUAAGGUGUUGUGUCAAAAUUUCGGGCGGCCUCUCGGGUCCGUUUGAAACACGCAGGGUACUAAGACAAGGCGAUGGGUUGUCCUGCCUGCUGUUCAAUAUAGCGCUGGAAGGUGUAAUACGAAGAGCGGGGUUCAACAUGCGGGGCACGAUUUUCACGAGUUCCGGACAGUUCGUGUGCUUCGCUGACGACGUAGACAUAAUCGGUAGAAACAAGGAGACGGCAGCAGAUCUUUAUACUCGACUGAAGCGCGAAGCAGCACGAAGAUAAAUGUGUGUAAGACGAAGUACAUGCUGGCUGGCGGAACCGAUCGCGAUAGGGAACGCUUGGGCAGCAGUAUUACGAUCGACGCCGACGACUUCCAGGUGGUUGACGAGUUCAUCUAUCUAGGCUUAUUAGUGACUGCGGACAAUAACACCAGCCGGGAGAUCAGAAGGCGUAUUAUCUCUGGAAGUCGUGCUUAUUAUGGGCUCCACAAAACUUUGAGAUCCAGGAAGCUUCACCGCCGCACGAAAUGCGCCAUGUACAACACACUGAUUAGACCGGUGGUUCUCUACGGGCACGAAACGUGGACAAUGCUCGAGGAGGAUCUGCAAGCACUCGAAGUCUUCGAAAGAAGGUUGCUGAGAACGAUCUUCGGUGGUGUGCAGGAAGAUGGCGUGUGGAGGAGAGAGAUGAACCACGAACUUGCGCGACUCUAUGGUGAGCCAAGUAUUCGGAAAGUAGCUCAAGUUGGGAGGGUACGGUGGGCGGGGCAUGUUGUGAGGAUGCCGGACAACAACCCCACCGAGUUGGUUUUCACCUCCAACCCGGCAGAUACAAGACGGAGAGGAGCGCAGCGUUACCGGUGGCUGCACCAAGUGGAGGAGAACCUGGCGAGUAUCGGGCACCUGAGAGGUUGGAGACAAGCAGCAACUGACCGAGUGCCGUGGCGGAAUAUUG
Molecule: long non-coding RNA, 6079 nt
Organism: Topomyia yanbarensis
Lineage: Eukaryota; Metazoa; Arthropoda; Insecta; Diptera; Culicidae
Exons: 4
Source: RefSeq, a predicted model, not a curated record